UGGAUCCUGCUGACUGGGCUGUUACUGAUGUUGUGAAUUAUUUCAGAACAGCUGGAUUUGAAGAACAAGCCAGUGCUUUUCAGGAACAGGAAGUGUCAAUGAGCAUGUUGAGAUAGCUACAUCACUGUAUCCAGAACAAAAGGGAGGAGAAGCCCUGGCCACAGUUCACCAGUAACAUCUGUGUUUCCCUUACCCGUGUCUGGAGCUGUCAGUGCUGUGGAGCUGCUGUGCUGGCCCUGGUACACAGGAAAUAUUUACAGAGAAGUAGGGGAUGCUGCCAGUUCUUUUCUCACCAUUCCGGCACUGCUCAGCUUCACAAAAGCGGAUCCCAUCAGGAACACAAAUGAAUGAGUGGAUGUGGGGAACGCCAUCCUGCAAUUUAGAGCAGACAUCGCAACUUCUCCUUUCAGAGCCGCUCGGGGCUCGCCCUGCGCAGCCGGGAAAACAAAAUGCCGGCGGGAUCUGCUUGGUGCCAGCCUGCUCUGCUCUUACUCCUCUCCUGGGUGCCCCUGUGGGCCGCUGGGAUUUCCUGCAGGAAUGAAAAUGGGGAGACGGUGGACUGGUUUGCUCUUUACAAGCUGCCAAAGCAUGCCAAAGGACAGAUUCCCCUGCUGGGCCUGGAGUACCUGUACAUGGAUGCUCUGACUCCACAGUGGCAGCUUGGUAAACACCUCAUCAACAUGAGCCAGGGUGCUCUGGGACAAACACUGCAGCAGCUCUAUGAGACAUAUGAAUCCAAGAGGAACACCACUGCAUAUGCAAUAUACAACGAUGAGAUCCCUGAAUCAGACUCCAAAGGAUCAAAAUGUGGACACACCAAAGGGUUUCUGCUCUUGGAUAAAUCACAAGGCUUCUGGGUGAUUCACAGUGUGCCCCUGUUCCCUCCCAGCCCUGAGGAUGGUUAUGGAUAUCCAUCUACUGGGGAGUCCUUUGGACAGACAGCCAUCUGUAUAACCUUCCGAUAUGAUCAGUUCACAGAAAUAGACCAACAGAUGCUGAGUUAUAAUCCAGGAAUCUACAGCUGUUCCAUCCCUGACAUCUUCCAAGCUGAUCUCCCAAAUCUCCAGAAACUCUGUGCAAAGUCCAGGCUGCCCUCACCCCCCUUGCACCACCUCUCCAAGCUCCAGUCAGCUCAGGGGGAAACCUUUCUCCACUUUGCAAAGUCACACUUGUUCAUAGAUGAUAUCUAUGUGGCCUGGAUGGCUCAGGAACUGAAGACUGAUUUGUUGGCUGAAUCCUGGCAGCGUUCUGGUGAAAAGCUUUACUCGAAUUGCUCUCUUGACUACCACGUCUACAAUAUAAACAUAAUAGGGAUGCCUUUGAACUCCACCUUCCAUUCUAUUAAUGAUCAUUCCAAAUGGGCUGUUUCAAGGAAAUACAAAGAUCAGUGGACAUGCAUUGGGGACUUGAACCGUGCUGCCGAGCAAGCUUGGAGAAGUGGUGGGUUCAUCUGUACCCAGAACGAACAGAUCUAUAAAGCCUUCAGGCAUUUGAUAAUCCACUAUGAAAGCUGCACUUCUGCUCCCAGAGACCUCUAACAAGCAUUCCUCCCAACCAGCACAGCCCUUGUUACAUGGGAAGUGUAGGAAGUCUCUCUCUCUCUGAACUGUGUUUUCACUCUGAAAAGCAGCCCUGUGAGUUUCCAGAUGUGCUAGGCCAUCCCCUUGUUAGCUGUAGGAGCAGGUGAAGGGCAGCUGCUUUCCUGUGCUGUGGGGCCCUCAGGGGGUGUGUGCUGGGCCCUGCUCUGCUCCCUGGCUCCUGUCACCAUUCCCCAUGGCAUGGCAUGGCAGGGACACUGCUGCACGGGGCUGCACCAAAGCACAUCUCUGUGCACACCCUGGACGAGCAUCCCUGGACACCUUGGGAGUGGGGCUGGACCUGGGACGGGAGGGACAACAGGAACCUCUCUCUUGAACUGGGCUGUCAGCACUGGCAGGUAGCAAGGGAUAAGCACCCCCAAGUGCUUCAGAACUGCCCUGGAUUUCUGGCACUGUUGAGAUAAAUCACAGCAUUUCUGCUCAGCUUGGGCUGAAUCUCUAAAAGAGCUGAGAAAAUUAGAUCCAGACCGGGAGAUGAGUAGAUCUGAGGACAGGAAGGCCUCAUUUUUACAUGAUUCAUUUUUAGAAAAUUAAUGAACUUUAAAUCAUCUUUAAAUUGUCUGUAACUAAUAGCUUGGAAAUAUUUCUAGUGCUUCUAUUAAUGUACUGCAAUUUUAUAAACAAAUAAACACGUUCAAAAUACGAAUAAGCAAAACAAGGAGUAACAAUAGUCUGUUUACAUUCUCCCUUUCCCAUCUGUAUAGUUAUUUGUGGUUGGUUAAAAUGUUUUAUGGCUGCCAAAGGAAAAAUGAAGACAAUUAGGAAAAAUUAUAAAGAGAAGAAUAUAUUUGAAGAAAAAUGUUAUUUAACCUACAUUUUCACAUUACAACAAAGAUGGCUGUAAUUUUCAAUAUCUCUGCUCUCAGGCUUAGGAGCUGAAGUUUGCAUAGUCUUGCUAUAAAGACAAAGCUGAUUUGCAAACUCCCAAUACACUCUUGUGUUCAGAUUUCAGAUGUGUAUCUGUGUUUAAUAUGUUCCUAAAUAUAUUUCUAUGUUUCUGUCUCUUCUUUUCCUGAAUUGCUAAUAUAAACUCCAGUCUGAAGAUUUGGCUGUCCCACUGAUAUUUCUGUCUUGCUGAGUUUGUAGUCCCCACUACUGAUCCUCCACAGAAGUAGGUAUGAAGAAAUGCCCCACAACCACAAGAGGUUGCCAAAGAUUUCUUUCCCUUUUCACCCUGAACAAUCAGCCAAACAACGAAGUGUAAAAAGUGUCAAACUAAUUAAUUUCAGAAAACACUUGUGCAUAUUUCUUGAAGAGACAGAAAUAAUCUAUGUGUGAUGUGUAAUGAAGGGAAUUGUACAGGAAUAGGUUUCCUAAUUAGCCAGUCUGGAUUAAAGGUAGCUCGUAGCUUGAGUCUCAUGGCUCAGUGAAAAUAGUUUUGUUGCUUAGAUAUCCUGCAAGAAUUUUUUUAUUUUAUUUUACCUGCAUAUGACCCAAUAACAGAUAGAUAAUUUGUUUGAUAAUGUUCUUUCUCUGAUGCCUGUCAAACUGUUUUACAUAUUUACUUCUUGUUUUGCUAGCUGUGGUCAAGCAACACCUUUUGUGGCAGUGAAAAUUGCCAGUGACACAGAACACUGUGCCGUGGCAUGGUAGGGCUUUGCUCAGAUAAGCCAAGACAAAAUUAAUUUAUCUUGCCUAUCUUUUCAUGGCAGACACUGACCUAACCUGCCUGUCUGAGCUCUUGUGUCUUGCCCACAGCUUUGUGUAAGCACAACUUCAGUGUACAGGACUGGCAAGGAAUCCUCUGCUGGAGACCGUGCUGGCAAGCUCACCAUGUGUGUCAGGGAGCUCCUGGAUCUGUGUAACAACCUGUAUUUCUUGUAGUAUUUUCAAAUACUCAGCCACAGCACGUGGGUCACAGGGUUCAAUGGCCAAGAGUCUCGGUCCCACUGGUUGUCACAGCAGUGUUGCCAGCCUUCUGCUCCCCAGGCCAGCAGUCACCAGUGCAUCACUUGAAAUAAGUGCUGAUUGCUGUUCUUAAUUACUUGGUCAAUUAAUAGCUGUCAUAAAGUUUUACAGGACUACUUAAACAUUUGUCUUUCAUUAUACCUAAGACUGGUUGCCUCCAUUUUAGCUAUAACUGAGGAGGCAAAAAGAGCAGUGGGAAGAUGCAGAGAAACAGCUGCCCCAUUCAGCCCUAUGAGCACCUCAGCAGCCUGGCUGUGCACACACUCAUUUCAGUGGUGGAGCAAUAAAAAGGCUGCAGAUCUGGUUCUCAUUUUUUGACUGUAAACAGCUUUAAUUCAGUUUUGCUUUCGUUGUGUAACUUUUGUAUUUGCAUAUCUGCGUAUUUCUGCUACAUGUUAUGAAACAGGGCCAGACUCUUUGUUUCCCUGAAGAGACUAAUAGUCAACAAAAUAAACAGUAUAGAUUUUUAAAGGGUUUGUAACUCUAAAAGUCUUAGGAAUUUCUUCAAAAAUGCAAGACCAUAAGCCACUUACUCACCCUCACAGCAUGCCCUAUGUGAGAUGUUUACUUUUUGCCUAUUAUAUAUAUAUAUAUUAAUAAGGUUUUUAAAUUUAAAAUAUGCUGUUCUAUUUUAAGAUGCCAAACACUCAAGAAACAUCUGCCUGUCCCAGUGAUUCUGUGCUGCCUCUGCUGCCCACUGCAACCCUUUUGACUGGACAGACUGGUUCCUGCAAAAGGGGACACAUGGCAUGGCCCCUCUGCAGUUUCAGGGAGAUCUGCUCAGCAAAACUGACUCUGCAGAAGUGCCCAAACACUGGACCCUGGCUUGGAGAGAGGAGAAAGCUGCUGCCUGGUGUGGAAACCUGGAGUGUCUUCUCAGCAUGCAGCUGGUGACACUAACGUGAGCUGCAUUCAUUCUUGCAGCAUUGAGAGUACCACAGGCAAAAAGAGGCAAAAGCUUUAAUAAAGGAAUAGGUCUACUGCAACAAAGGAAACAACAGCAAGAAACAGAGACAAGGACACAUCCUAGCCCCAUUAAUAUCAGCAGCAAUUUGCCUUCAUCUUCAGUGGGAACAGAACUUCAAAGACAUGGGAAUCACCCAUACAACCUGAAGGGUAAAACCUGAACCUUCCAUAGUCUCUGACACAAGCUGAGUUUGAGGGUGGUGGGGUAGUCCUGACACCAUGAAAAUGUCCCCAGCAGGAGUUGCAUGACCUUGGCCUGGCUGUGACCUUGUCCCUGGCACUGGCAGGUGGUGUUGUUAGGACAGACCUCAGAGAGUUCAUUCCUUGACAGAAGAACCUCCCUGAGGCCCAUGAGCUGGGCACAGGUGAAGCUCCUCUCUCUCUUUGCUCAUGGCUGUACUUUCAGUGCCCAAAUCAGGAUGAAGUGACAUCCCCACCUUUAUUGGUACAUUUUUUAUGUCUCAGUAGCUUAAGAUAUUCUUUCAAAGCCUGUCCCUGGCAGAAUGAAAGCUGUAUCUCCUCAGUCCUGAUUUGUGUUGUUUGAACUGAGGAAGACGAGUGGUGUGCAUAUAAAGAAUAGUUUCUUCUCUAGGAAGAUUUAAGAUCUCCCCUGAAGACUAAGAACAUAUUUAAGUGAACAUGGCCUGCUAAAUGCUGGGAAUGAGGGAAAGCCAGGAUGAGGGGACUCUUUCCUGGGCAACUCUGCAGGUCUUGUUUUGGUACUCACACCAUACAGCAAGUAAAAAUUCAAAGAAGAGAUGUGCUAACAACAGAAUUAGUUUUCCUGUCCUUCCUUUGGAUGACUCCUAGUGCUUCUUCCAUUCCUGGGAAUGCAUAAUAUGACAUGGUAUCAAGUUGCUGGAUGAAAAUAUGUAUAAUGUACAACCUGGGAAGGUUGCUACACUCUUGAUGAGUUUAUUUGCUCCUCAUAGUCAUAUUUUAGCUCUGUGAGAAAAAGUUCCCCUCUGUCCUUCAUUAUUUACUGGUCACCGAAGUAAGUCUGACAAUAUAGACUCUUUCAAAUAAACCAGAUUCCAGAGAACAGUAGGAAAAUGUUCCAUGGGAGUGUGUACCCUAACUAAGGCCCCUCCAUCAAUUUCUAAUUAUAUUUCAUGUUUUGUAUGGUGUCUGCACCCCGAGACCACUGCAGCCAUAUCAGGAAAGCAAUGGCAAGCACUUUCAGAAAAGCCCCUCUAAAAGAGGUGAGUUUAGCACAUUUGCUUGUCUGUGUUCUAUACAGCAGUGAUUUUGUGUUUCUGAGUGUAAAGAGUUCUGUGGACAACCUUUUUUAAGGCCAAAAACAUGACUACAAAAUACAAGUUCAUUCAUGUUUUCCAUACAUUAAAUUUCUUAAGGAAUCUGAAGCCUCUCCUGGAAAACUAUAAGAACAUUUCAAAACCUGUGCUCUUUACAAGUCAGACCCAUAUUGUAUGUCAAAAUAUACAGCUGGGGUUUUUUGAAAGAGCAAGCACUGCUCAGGAUCCUGCAGGAACAGAGAACUUGGGAUUUCAAUAUUUUUUUUAUAAUAAAAUGUAAUAUUUGUUUAAUGCUAAAUUCCUCUGGGUUUCAGUGCCCUUAUUGUUCACUACCAGCACAUAUAUAAUCAGCCUAAGAAAGGAGGAGCAGAGCAUAUGUUUUGGCUGCUUUGAGAAUCAUAGAAUAAUGACAUUUGAGUCUGUGGGUUUAGCUUGGUAG
Melozone crissalis (California towhee) is the source of this 6167-nucleotide RNA transcript. It is a transcript of the gene named deoxyribonuclease 2 beta, with no coding region annotated. Lineage: Eukaryota; Metazoa; Chordata; Aves; Passeriformes; Passerellidae. The record is from RefSeq and is a predicted model, not a curated record. The transcript has 12 exons.